CCCGCUGAAUUUAAGCAUAUUAAUAAGCGGAGGAAAAGAAACUAACAAGGAUUCCCUCAGUAACGGCGAGUGAAGCGGGAAGAGCUCAAAUUUGAAAUCUCCGAUGCUUGCAUCGGCGAGUUGUAGUUGCGAGAAGCACUUUCUAGGUGGAUCGGCGGUGCCUAAGUUGCUUGGAACAGCACGUCGCAGAGGGUGACAACCCCGUCUGUGGCGCCGCCGGCCGCUGACGAUGUGCUUUCGAAGAGUCGGGUUGUUUGGGAAUGCAGCCCAAAAUGGGUGGUAAACUCCAUCUAAAGCUAAAUACUGGCGUGAGACCGAUAGCGAACAAGUACCGUGAGGGAAAGAUGAAAAGAACUUUGAAAAGAGAGUUAAAAAGUACGUGAAACCGUCGGAAGGGAAACGAAUGGACUCAGCAAUGCGCCCUCUGAGAUUCAGCCGCGUGGGUGGCGUCGGCGCGGGGUUUGCGGAUCUGAAUGGACCGCGGCCCGGCGCUCGCUGCUCCCCGCCGUCGCACUUCUCUGGGGCGCGCGUCAACGUGGGUUGGGACUGGGUCUGAAAGGUGCCGGGAAGGUAGGUGUGGGCCUUCGGGUCCGUUCUGUUACAGCCCGGUUCUCUCAUGGCUCGGGCCCGACCGAGGAGCAGACAGGGCAUGCCUCCUGUGGCUAGGGUCCCGUCCUUCCGGCCGGCUGUCCAGUGUGGUGGACUGCUUGCAGUGCUCUGCGACGGCUGCCGGUCGUUGGGGUGGUGAUCUCGUACCAUGCCCUUGGGAUGUUGGCGGUCAUAUGGGUGC
This 790-nucleotide ribosomal RNA is filed under the name Dipsastraea favus. RNAcentral's name for it is "partial large subunit ribosomal RNA". It matches the Rfam family "Eukaryotic large subunit ribosomal RNA", at positions 24 to 641 of the family's 3401-position model. The record is from RNAcentral. Lineage: Eukaryota; Metazoa; Cnidaria; Anthozoa; Scleractinia; Merulinidae.